This 967-nucleotide long non-coding RNA is filed under the name Chinchilla lanigera (long-tailed chinchilla). Its description in RNAcentral is "lncRNA (ENSCLAG00000027434.1)". The record is from RNAcentral. Lineage: Eukaryota; Metazoa; Chordata; Mammalia; Rodentia; Chinchillidae.
UUGGACCUCUGAGAUGUGGACUCGUAUCAGGACCUCCUUGGAAGCUCCGGAAUCAGUGUCAGAGCCUGGUGAGAAAGGAGAGAGUUCUACACUGGGCAAAGUUUUACCACACAGAUCACUGUCGCCGAGAACAACAGCCAACGGAAGGGAGUCUUGUCGCCAAACGAGGGCCUCGGAGGCUGCUGAAGCUGGGAAGGGGAAUCUAAGCCACCCUCCCCAUAGAAUAGGAUUGCACAUCUGCUGACUCCAGUGCAAGAAAAGAAUGUUCAGGACUAGCAAGUAAGACGCAUAGGAAGGAUUUUAUUAGACAGAAAUCCUAAAGUAUACACUCAAAGAAAUGGAGUGCAGGACCUCAACAAAGAGAGAAUUGUCUCCCGGAACUGGGAACACUGCUGCUUCUCUUCAGGGGGUGGAGACCCGGAAAAGUGCCCACCCUCUGAAUGAUGCUGGCUUAUAUGACAGGUAUGGGCCAGUUGUUUUCUUUUUUAAUGGAUAAUGUAAGCAUUCUUUGAAUUCUCCCAACUUGUCCCUUUAUCGUAGGAUCAGGUUCCUGCUCUUCCCUCAACUGAGCCAAUUUGUGAACUUUCAGUGUUCCUGAGGAAUUGGGGUGUCAUGAAUCUGGAAGGAAAGAAGCCUAAAUUUAACCCAGAAAAUACUGAUGUGGCCUCCUCAGUGACUUUGACUGGGGGACGGAAGUUGCAGUCUCCUUAAAAGUACCGUGUUUUGAGUUACGAUUUCUUUGUCUCCUUUCUUCCUUUUAUGUCUUCUGUCCUACCGGGGUAUCAUCAAGGCUGCUGCAGUGGAGAGGGUGCCCCAUGCUCCUGGACCUCCUACAAGCACACAGGCUUUCCCAGAACUCUGCAUCUCAAAGAGUUAGGCCAGGAGCCACACCAACUGUGAGCUGCAUCUGGGUGGGUGUUAGCUCCCCUGCGCUUCUAACCCUGUAUUUAUUCUUGGGCAAGGAGGC